This 181-nucleotide ribosomal RNA is filed under the name Metschnikowia bicuspidata var. bicuspidata. RNAcentral's name for it is "partial 18S ribosomal RNA". It matches the Rfam family "Eukaryotic small subunit ribosomal RNA", at positions 1652 to 1831 of the family's 1831-position model. Lineage: Eukaryota; Fungi; Ascomycota; Pichiomycetes; Serinales; Metschnikowiaceae. The record is from RNAcentral.
CCUGCCCUUUGUACACACCGCCCGUCGCUACUACCGAUUGAAUGGCUUAGUGAGGCCUCUGGAUUGAACCUAUGGCUGGGGCGACCCGGCCGUGGGUUGAGAAACUGGUCAAACUUGGUCAUUUAGAGGAAGUAAAAGUCGUAACAAGGUUUCCGUAGGUGAACCUGCGGAAGGAUCAUUA